RNAcentral lists this ribosomal RNA (207 nucleotides) under uncultured bacterium. Its description in RNAcentral is "partial 16S ribosomal RNA". It matches the Rfam family "Bacterial small subunit ribosomal RNA", at positions 568 to 774 of the family's 1533-position model. The record is from RNAcentral.
CGCGCAGGCGGCUCGUUAAGUCCAAGGUGAAAUCCCACGGCUCAACUGUGGGGGGACCCUGGAUACUGGCGAGCUGGAGUGCGGGAGAGGGAAGCGGAAUUCCACGUGUAACGGUGAAAUGUAUAGAUAUGUGGAGGAACACCGGUGGCGAAGGCGGCUUCCUGGACCGUAACUGACGCUGAGGCGCGAAAGCUGGGGGAGCGAACA